This 460-nucleotide ribosomal RNA is filed under the name uncultured bacterium. RNAcentral describes it as "partial 16S ribosomal RNA". It matches the Rfam family "Bacterial small subunit ribosomal RNA", at positions 338 to 795 of the family's 1533-position model. The record is from RNAcentral.
CCUACGGGAGGCAGCAGUGAGGAAUAUUGGUCAAUGGGCGCGAGCCUGAACCAGCCAAGUAGCGUGAAGGAUGACUGCCCUACGGGUUGUAAACUUCUUUUAUAAAGGAAUAAAGUUAUGCACGUGUGCCUCUUUGUAUGUACCGUAUGAAUAAGGAUCGGCUAACUCCGUGCCAGCAGCCGCGGUAAUACGGAGGAUCCGAGCGUUAUCCGGAUUUAUUGGGUUUAAAGGGAGCGUAGAUGGGUUGUUAAGUCGGUGGUGAAAGUUUGCGGCUCAACCGUGACAGUGCAAUUGAUACUGGCAGGCUUGAGUACAGUUGAGGUAGGCGGAAUUCGUGGUGUAGCGGUGAAAUGCUUAGAUAUCACGAAGAACCCCGAUUGCGAAGGCAGCUUACUGAACUGUCACUGACGCUGAUGCUCGAAAGUGUGGGUAUCGAACAGGAUUAGAUACCCCUGUAGUC